Xenia sp. Carnegie-2017 is the source of this 208-nucleotide long non-coding RNA. RefSeq lists it as uncharacterized. Lineage: Eukaryota; Metazoa; Cnidaria; Anthozoa; Malacalcyonacea; Xeniidae. The transcript has 2 exons. The record is from RefSeq and is a predicted model, not a curated record.
AAGGAUAUGUUGUUGUGUAGGGGAAAAGUAGGGGAAAACAAGGAAAAAAAUAGUAGGGGGAAGUAGGGGGGAAAUAAAGUUUGGUAGGUGAAAUGUGCAUACACAGAGUGGCAGCACUAUAGAGAGAUGGGAUGCAACAGAUAGAGAGAUGGGAUGCUUUAUUUCACAUAAAUAUUGCUCCCAAAAAAAGCUGAAUUAUGUAUAUUUA